This is an RNA transcript of Brienomyrus brachyistius, 1107 nucleotides long. It is a transcript of the gene named integrin subunit beta 3 binding protein, with no coding region annotated. NCBI's taxonomy places the organism in Eukaryota, Metazoa, Chordata, Actinopteri, Osteoglossiformes, Mormyridae. The transcript is spliced from 10 exons. The record is from RefSeq and is a predicted model, not a curated record.
ACUUUAGAAAAAUAUCCAUACACCGCAUGUGGUUUUUAAAAGAAAAAUAAAAAAUAAACGGUGACGGGGAACCCAUUUCCGGUCGUACCGCGCCACUUUUCAAAACGGGCAUUAUUUGUUUUGGAGGCUGUGCGCUUACUGUAAAUAUGCCAGUUAAGAGGGCCCUGCGUUUGGAAGAAAAGGAAAAUAUAACUCCAUCCAAGAGACCAGCACUUGACUGGGCCUAUUCCCCAUCCACAGGCACCUGCUCCAUUCACCACAUACAUUCUUCUUCAGCUAAUUUAAAUUUGAGGGAAAAUGCUGGCAGUCCUACGCUACGGGAACUUCAGACAGAUAAAGAAAAUAAAAUCUAAAGUGCUGAAAAGGAAGUCUGUACCGAUACUUCAGGGUGGAGAUAAGCUUCUUUAUUAAUUUCAUGCCUUGCGGUCUAAAAUUGAAGCGUCAGUAAAUGCAUUUUUAAAGGCCAGGCAGCAGAUUGAAAAAACGUUGUCGACGGAGGGCGGCAGUGAGCUGAGCGGGUUCUUCAGAGGAGGCUCUUCCGACCUGCAGGCCGAACUGCGCAAAAACAGGGAGCUCUGUGCCCUGGUGGAAGCUCGCCUCGAUGGGAUUGACUUCAACCGCCACCGCAGAGACGGUCCCGGAAGGCCGUCAAGCUCCUACGAAUUCCUAAAAUCAAUCCUGAACUGAGGAGUAAUUCUGCGUCCUCUGAUCAGCUUUGUGACCCACGAGGGAGGAGGGUCCGAUGGCUUCUCCCGGUCCAUCCAGCUGGCCACCGCGCUUCUUCUGCAGAAGCCACCAGGCCCUUAUCCGGAAACAGCUCUGCAGCACUCAGCAGCACCCCCAGCAAUGCUCAGGAUCCUCUGGGCUCCCGGCAAUGUCACCCCCCCCCCCCCCAACCCCGAUUCCACCAUUUCUAGUCGAAAUAGAUUUUUUUUUUUAAUGCCCAUCAUUAACUUCCAGAAAGAAGCAUAAGAUUGGUGUGGUAUUUCAGUUUUAUGACAUCGUGUCCGCCGCUCUCCUGCUAGCACGCACCCUCUGCGUGGGAUGCUUCUGUAUUUACCGCUCGUAAUGAAUAUUUUAUGAUAAUAAAUGGCUUUAAGAUAUUAA